Long non-coding RNA from Lynx canadensis (Canada lynx), 941 nucleotides. RefSeq lists it as uncharacterized. The record is from RefSeq and is a predicted model, not a curated record. NCBI's taxonomy places the organism in Eukaryota, Metazoa, Chordata, Mammalia, Carnivora, Felidae. The transcript is spliced from 3 exons.
GGCCUGGGAGACGCAGCCUUGGAGCUGUAAGGGCCCGCAGCGGCCAUCUGCUCCAGCUCCUGGCUGCGCCGAUAGAAGGCGAAGCUCGGCGAGGGAGAGGCCGGCCGAAGACGCCUAGGGCAUAGCUGCAGCUGGUCUUCGGAGUCUUGACCCCAGGCGGCGUGCCUAUGUUGCAGGCAGGAUUGGGCCCCGGGCCCUCCUCCGACUCUGUCAGAGAUCUGACCCGGGGAACGGUGCACCCAGAACUACUGCUCCGGAUUUAGGAGGAGGUGGGAAAGGAGUCCUCUCACUGCCCCACAUUCCACGGCUUUGGAGAUUCCUCGAUGGCACCCGCAUCCCUCUGUGAGCCAGGGUUGUACUAGGAAUGAUCACGGAUCAGGGAGGGGUAUCCUUUUCAUCCGCGGAGGAGAGAGGGACUCCCCGCACCCUACACCUGACUGCGGCGGGGUGUGUGCGUGUGUGUGCGUUUGUGUGUUCCUGCUCGAUGAGACUUUUCCCUCUUGUACCUUACAAACCACGCUGCCUUCUGGAGAAUGUACGUCUCAGCGGGUAACUGAUUCACAGAUCCACUGCAAGUCGUUACAGGGUCUCCUCCGCCUCAUCCAGUCCGAACGAGCGGCGAAGCCCGGGUUCAGCAGGCAGAGGCCGCGCCUCAGGGCUCUCCCCACCGCGCCCAGUGUCCGCCGCUCUCACCGCCCUUCUGGGCAGGCUCGGAACCACCAGAGCCUGCGGGACGCCCUUCGCCUCUCCCUCCACUCCAGGGACACUUGCAUAACGUGGAUCUAGAGCAACUCCUUCGCGUUGACCGCGGACGCCCCAGGGCCCGGGCAGCGACCCGCAGGUGGAAGCCAGGUGAAAACUGCCAAGGAGGGAGGUCAGCCCAGCGCGUCCUUGAGAACCCCAUGCUCCUGCUAAGCAGGACCCCAGGCGGAGGGAGCUUA